UGGGGAAUUUUGCGCAAUGGGCGAAAGCCUGACGCAGCAACGCCGCGUGGAGGAUGAAGGUCCUUGGAUUGUAAACUCCUGUCAGCAGGGAAAAAGCGACUUGACCUCAUACGUCAGGGAGUUGAUUGUACCUGCAGAGGAAGCCCCGGCUAACUCUGUGCCAGCAGCCGCGGUAAUACAGAGGGGGCAAGCGUUAUUCGGAAUUAUUGGGCGUAAAGGGCGCGUAGGCGGCAUGGCAAGUGGAUGGUGAAAUCCCUCGGCUUAACCGAGGAACUGCCGUCCAAACUGCUUCGCUUGAGACCGGGAGAGGUGAGUGGAAUUCCCAGUGUAGCGGUGAAAUGCGUAGAUAUUGGGAGGAACACCAGUGGCGAAGGCGGCUCACUGGACCGGUACUGACGCUGAAGCGCGAAAGCGUGGGGAGCAAACGGGAUUAGAUACCCCCGUAGUCC
RNAcentral lists this ribosomal RNA (449 nucleotides) under uncultured bacterium. Its description in RNAcentral is "bacterial SSU rRNA". It matches the Rfam family "Bacterial small subunit ribosomal RNA", at positions 355 to 796 of the family's 1533-position model. The record is from RNAcentral.